GACGAACGCUGGCGGCGUGCCUAAUACAUGCAAGUAGAACGCUGAAGAGAGGAGCUUGCUCUUCUUGGAUGAGUUGCGAAAGGGUGAGUAACGCGUAGGUAACCUGCCUUGUAGCGGGGGAUAACUAUUGGAAACGAUAGCUAAUACCGCAUAACAAUGGAUGACACAUGUCAUUUAUUUGAAAGGGGCAAUUGCUCCACUACAAGAUGGACCUGCGUUGUAUUAGCUAGUAGGUGAGGUAAUGGCUCACCUAGGCGACGAUACAAAGCCGACCGGAGAGGGAGAUCGGCCACACUGGGACUGAGACACGGCCCAGCAUCCUACGGGAGGGAGCAGAAGGGGAGCGUCGGCAAUGGGGGCAAACCUGACCGAGCAACGCCGCGUGAGUGAAGAAGGUUCUCGGAACGUAAAACUCUGUUGUAAGUCAAGGACGGGUAUGAGGGUGGAAAGUUCACACUGUGACGGUAGCUUACCAGAAAGAGACGGCUAACUACGUG
Molecule: ribosomal RNA, 497 nt
Filed under: uncultured bacterium
Lineage: Bacteria
Description: partial 16S ribosomal RNA
Rfam family: Bacterial small subunit ribosomal RNA
Source: RNAcentral